UGUUUUCGAAAUGGAAAACUGAAGAAGAUAUUUGUAGAAGGAACAAAAUAUAUGACUUCCAGAACAUUGUCUUAGAACUUCACUAGAUAAUUUUCGAUCUAUGCCAUUCUUUGGUAUCCUCACAAUGGCCACUCUGAUGAUACUCUGUCAGAAGUAGCUACUCUACAAAGAAAGGAGUAGAGUCACUCGAUGAAGAAUAGGGAUGGGUCACCUUGAGGUUAACUAGGGCCUGCAGGAUAUGGUGUUGUCUAUGGCAAUCACAGGUAUGUAUCUUUCAAGGUAUAUGUAGGUUUAGACGAGUACAAUCUACUUUGCAGAAUGCGUAGUCAUCUUGAAAGUUAUGGAAGUUAAGACAGCAAUUUUUUUUCUGCAGAUCAGGUGUCAAGAUACGCGGCAGGGCAUAAUGAUUUAUAAACAAGUUGUAAUUGAUAGGAGGCUCCCCUGGCUUGCCAUGUAAAAGAUCCUUAAUCUAGUCUAUUUACAUUCGAUGAAAUGUUAUUUUGCUUUUAUAUGCCAAAGAAAAAUUCUGUUUAACUUGUAC
Molecule: long non-coding RNA, 541 nt
Filed under: Aquilegia coerulea
Lineage: Eukaryota; Viridiplantae; Streptophyta; Magnoliopsida; Ranunculales; Ranunculaceae
Description: long non-coding RNA (ACOE_LNC000326)
Source: RNAcentral